GACGAACGCUGGCGGCGUGCUUAACACAUGCAAGUGGUGCGACGAACCAGGCUUCGGCCUGGGGCAGAGCCGCGAACGGGUGAGUAACACGUGGGCAACCUGCCCUGUUGAUCGGGACAACCCGGGGAAACCCGGGCUAAUACCGAAUGUGGUGCCGGCUCAUGAGAGCCGUCACAAAGGAAGCUUCGGCCUCCGCGACAGGAUGGGCCCGCGGCCCAUUAGCUUGUUGGUGGGGUAAUGGCCUACCAAGGCAACGAUGGGUAGCUGGUCUGAGAGGACGAUCAGCCACACUGGGACUGAGACACGGCCCAGACUCCUACGGGAGGCUGCAGUGGGGAAUCUUGCGCAAUGAGCGACAGCUUGACGCAGCAACGCCGCGUGGGGGAAGAAGGCUUUCGGGUCGUAAACCCCUUUCAGUUAGGGAAGAACAAGUGCUAGUUGAAUAAGCUGGCACCUUGACGGUACCUAACCAGAAAGCCACGGCUAACUACGUGCCAGCCGCCGCGGUAA
RNAcentral lists this ribosomal RNA (510 nucleotides) under uncultured bacterium. RNAcentral's name for it is "partial 16S ribosomal RNA". It matches the Rfam family "Bacterial small subunit ribosomal RNA", at positions 28 to 523 of the family's 1533-position model. The record is from RNAcentral.